This is a long non-coding RNA of Oncorhynchus tshawytscha (Chinook salmon), 1365 nucleotides long. Lineage: Eukaryota; Metazoa; Chordata; Actinopteri; Salmoniformes; Salmonidae. The record is from Ensembl.
UUUACUGUGAACACUGAGGCUGUACCCGCUUUAAGUUACAGUUUUACUGUGAACACUGAGGCUGUACCCGCUUUAAGUUACAGUUUUACUGUGAACACUGAGGCUGUACCCGCUUUAAGUUACAGUUUUAAAAGUGGCCAAGUAGGCUAUUUUGUCUAUUUGAUCACAAUGAAGCUCUACCAGAGUGGCCUACAAUAAAAAAAACUAUGGAGAAAAACUAAUCUCAUAACAUUUUAACAUGGAAAUAGCUGUUUUAUCGUUCAGCCUACAGUAGCAGCCAAUGUGUGGUGUUCAAUGUCGGCCGACAUUCCAUGAGACUUUUGAGGAGAAAAAAACAUGCAGGGCUUGACAUGAACCUGUUUAUCCACUCGUCCUUCAGACAAGGUGACUGAAAAUGUUUGCUGCAAGAAACCACUUUACAAAAUAAAAUGUAUUAUUAUUCCCAUACCAUUAUUACAGAGAAUCAGACAAAUUAUGCUACCCUCUGCCUAUUGUCUCCUUAGAGUAUUCAAGACCGUCUCAAUACAAUACUGCCCCUUUAAGACAAAAAAAAAAGCUCUUUACCUGUAACCAGACUGGCUUUUCAAAGAUGUCUAGAAAUAUACAUGUUUUGUAAAAUGGCAUAGAUCCAUAUAAGGCAAUGGUCUAUUUGCAUAUAGGCCUACUGCAGCUCUGAUUGGUUAUGGUGCACUGGUCUGUGUAGAAUAUGGGACUUAAGUCUUGCCUGUCAAUGCAAUAGUAUUCUACUUCAAUGUGCUCUGCUUACAAGAAAAUCUCAGUGCACAGUUUAGAGGGAACAUUGUUUACAAGUAUUCAAUGUAAUACUAAUAUAUGUAUAAUAUUUUGAUUUACCUCUAUGGAGUAUGCCAUAGCCUGCCAGUUCUGGGUGUUUACUUAGCUCUGUCAAAACUGGAGAACAGAUGACUGCCGGCUUUACCAACAACAACCACAAAUUGUGCAUUUGCCGUAAGUGCGAGUUGUGAGAUGCAGGUGAAAGCAGGUUAAUUGAAUUGGGCUUUAAAUAGUGUAUUGAGUGUGAGAGCAUGUGCCAACUCUUGGCCCUCAUUCUUUAUUCUCCUCCACUUUUCCCACUUGUGCUUCAUGCAUGAUCAAAUCUCACUGAGGGGUCUCAACUUGAAUGUUUUUGCACAGGUUUGAGUGAGUGUGUGUGCGUGCGUGCACAUCAACGCCAGCGUGUCAGUACCCUUACAUGUUACUCUUGUUAUUAUUAUUUUUAAAUAAAGAGCAUGUACUCAGCCCUAUAGGUGUGGAUCAAUCUGAUGUGCCUCAGAACCAGUUUAUGUACUCAGCCCUAUAGGUGUGGAUCAAUCUGAUGUUAAUUCCACAAAUUCAAAUUCAAUUCCC